Molecule: long non-coding RNA, 1110 nt
Organism: Triplophysa rosa
Lineage: Eukaryota; Metazoa; Chordata; Actinopteri; Cypriniformes; Nemacheilidae
Exons: 3
Source: RefSeq, a predicted model, not a curated record
UAGGGUCCUGCCCAGUCGCCGCUGAUUGGGGAAGAACGUGUUUUUGGUCCCGCCCUGCUUCUUUUGCGACACGUCAAUCAUAUUUCCGAGGGAGACGGAUGUCUCAUUCAGUCUUUGAAUAACACCUGGUCAGCCGCUGUUUGUCCAGCAAAAUUAUUGACUUGACUUACAGUGCUGCACAAACACCAGCAUCCCUUCAUCACUACUGGAAGUCCAUGUCCAUUAUGCAGCUACAUCUACUGUAUUAUCCACUUAACGAUGAGGUCCUGUUUGCAAAAAAUGUUCGGACACACAAUACGGCGACAGAGCGACAGUAAACCACAAAGAGAAAGAAAAGGAGAAAGAAGCGUCUCUAGUCAGGAAGGAGUUAAAGCCAUAAAGAUGUACCUCAGCCCUGACCCUUCACACGCCAAGGAGAUUGGGGAAACAAAAAUCAAUACUCGCUGGCAGGCGAUCUAGCAAGCGGGUGAAUUACAGAGGCCGCACUCCGACCACAGCCACAUGGAGGGAGGCCUUGGAGGCGAGGGACCUUGGGAGUGGAGUUUGAGAUGCGGGGGUCAGCGGUUCAGCCCAGGUCCGCAGUCUGAGGAGCGCCGUAUUUACUGCAAUGGCUCACCGUAAUGAAAAAUAACUCCAGGAGAGCAAGAAAGAAAGAGGGAGAGAGACCAUCUGUGAGUGAGGAUGAGAAGGUGUGUGCGUGUGCGUGUGUGUGUGUGUGUGUGUGUGUGUGCGUGUGUGUGUGUGUGUGUGUGUGUGUGCGUGUGUGUGCGUGUGUGUGCAUGUGUGUGUGUGAGUGUUUUAUUUUUGUCAGCAGGCACUCAAACGAAACCCAGGAAAGAGAGAAUCAGAAAGGUGCAGGAUAGGCCAUUAAACAUAAACACACAGUCUGACAUGUGUAGCAUGGUGGUUAUCUGUUCAUCUUAACCAUCACAACACAGGUCAUGCAACAGAGACGAAUGCUUUUGUUCUGUGCACUAAAAGCUUUAGAUGAGCUUUUCAGUUGUGAACUGGUCCUUUUACAGACAUGAUAGAAGCCAUUUCAUUUAUAGUACAGCUGAGAACAAAAUAAAAAAAUAUUUCAGAUAUUGACAAAAAAAAAACAUAAACGAC